Long non-coding RNA from Raphanus sativus (radish), 1550 nucleotides. RefSeq lists it as uncharacterized. Lineage: Eukaryota; Viridiplantae; Streptophyta; Magnoliopsida; Brassicales; Brassicaceae. The transcript is spliced from 4 exons. The record is from RefSeq and is a predicted model, not a curated record.
UAUAAUGAAAAUAUGACAUUUUUUAAAAUAAAUCUAACCUCACAUCUCUCUCCUUUAAAAUAAGACCAAACCUGUUAAAUUUAUACGGUGCGGAUCUUCUAUCUCUCUCGUUCGUGAUGCUUGUUACGACGGCGACUCAGCGGUUAGUGUAUUGCCGGAGAUAUUGGUGAACAGCGGUUGUGACCGGAGGCGCUUUCGUGUUUUAAUGUUUUCUCUUAUUUAAAUUUUGUUUCGGAGUUUUGGAAGAGAUGGAAGGACAGGCGAAGCUGGCUGACGAGGCCACAGUCAUCGCUGCUCCGAUCAUCCUCGACGGUGCGAUCGUUUUGCUAAUGGUCACUGUUACGAAGGAGCGUGGCACGAAGGACGGACGUAAGCAAGGGGUUAUGGUGCUUACUCUCGUUUAGAACCAGUGAUGCUAAAUGAUCUGGUGAGUGGGAUUCAGGGUGUCUUGUAAAUCCUCUUCAUCCGACGAGCGAGCCGAGCGCAGAGCGGUUCAGGCUGCGAGAGAAACGGCUAAGAAGGCAGUGAACCGGAGACGAGUAGAUGAACAAGUGAGUCGAGCAGUGGCUGGCAGCUAAUGAAGCUGCAACGGCUGCAAGAGUGGCUGCUGUUAAAGCCGUUCAGAAUCAGAUGGAUGGUUAUGUUAGCUGCUCCCUGGACAUAACAAAGUACACAAACAAGUUCUUGUCACAGUGAGUGGUACAGUACAUGUCUACAAGUGAAGACAAAACAGACAAUAAAGGAGGUUGAGGGUUUUUGCUUCGAGAGCAAGGAGCGCUGCUUGCAUUCUUCUUUGUAUUUAUACACCUUUUAACCAACAAGAAAAAAGCAAAUCAAAGCAGAAAGCAGAGAAAAAAAAACAAAAGGAGGAGAAAACAAUGGCAGGAGGAGGUUUGGUGAAACUUGGUCUGAAAAUGUUGUUUCCAGUUGUAAAGGAGGUGUUAACGGCGAUUGUCAAGAGAUGAAAAGGUUGGUUUGUGAAGGUUGGGAAGGCAACCGGUUCCUUCCUGAGAGGUUGGUUUGUGAAGGUUGGGAAGACAACCAGAUCCUUCUUGAGAGGGGUUUUGGAGAGAGUUGGGGCAGAAGAUGUGAGGGAGAGGAUUGAGAAGAUGAAGGAAGAGUAUGAGAUGUGGAGGAAGGAGAGGGAGGAGGAUGCUGAGGAGGAGGAAGAAGAAGAGGAGAACAAGUGGAGCAAGAUGGACGAAGCCAUGGAGCGGAGCUGCGGAGCGGUAAAUCCCUUUGUUUGGGGAAACUAGAGGAAAGUAGUUCUUGUGUCGUCUCGUCUCGUCUAGUGUCGUGAAAUAAUUUCGUUAGGUCAAAAUUCCUUUAGCCGUUCUCUUCUCUUCACUUUCCGGCGAUUUUCUCUUAUCAAAGUCGCAACCUUUCUCUCGCUUAUCAAAGUCGAAACAUUUCCCGGAAAACUCCUAAUUUCUCAACGCACUAAUAAUGUCCUUAGUUACAAUUAAAUUUUUAUUGUAUUUUGAUGAUUAUUAUGUAAAUAAAACAAAUGUAUUUGUUUUAAUUAAAAAGAUAUUUUAUUUACUGAUAAA